UACGUAGGGGGCAAGCGUUGUCCGGAAUUAUUGGGCGUAAAGGGCGCGUAGGCGGAUGUUUAAGUCCGGUGUGAAAGAUCAGGGCUCAACCCUGAGAGUGCAUCGGAAACUGGGCAUCUUGAGGACAGGAGAGGAAAGUGGAAUUCCACGUGUAGCGGUGAAAUGCGUAGAUAUGUGGAGGAACACCAGUGGCGAAGGCGACUUUCUGGACUGUAACUGACGCUGAGGCGCGAAAGCGUGGGGAGCAAACAGGAUUAGAAACCCUUGUAGU
Molecule: ribosomal RNA, 271 nt
Filed under: uncultured bacterium
Lineage: Bacteria
Description: partial 16S ribosomal RNA
Rfam family: Bacterial small subunit ribosomal RNA
Source: RNAcentral